RNAcentral lists this ribosomal RNA (500 nucleotides) under uncultured bacterium. Its description in RNAcentral is "partial 16S ribosomal RNA". It matches the Rfam family "Bacterial small subunit ribosomal RNA", at positions 28 to 507 of the family's 1533-position model. The record is from RNAcentral.
GACGAACGCUGGCGGCGUGCUUAACACAUGCAAGUCGAACGGGCCUGUCUUCUUUUUUGGGGGGUGGGUUGAGUGGCGAACGGGUGAGUAUCGCGUGAGUAACCUGCCCUUCGGUCCUGGAUAACCGCUUGAAAGGGCGGCUAAUACGGGGUGGUCCGGUUGGUCCGCAUGGGCUGGUCGGGAUAGAUUCACUGUUUUUGGUGUUUCGGCGGGGGAUGGGCUCGCGGCCUAUCAGCUUGUUGGUGGGGUGAUGGCCUACCAAGGCGGUGACGGGUAGCCGGCGUGGGAGGGUGGGCGGCCACACUGGGACUGAGGUACGGCCCAGACUCCUGAGGGAGGCAGCAGUGGGGGGUAUUGCACAAUGGGCGGAAGCCUGAUGCAGCGACGUCGCGUGAGGGAUGGAGGCCUUCGGGUUGUGAACCUCUGUUUCCGGUGGUGAAGGCCCUGUCCGUGUGGUGGGGUUGACGGUAGCCGGGGAUGAAGCGCCGGCUAACUACGUG